Molecule: ribosomal RNA, 460 nt
Filed under: uncultured bacterium
Lineage: Bacteria
Description: partial 16S ribosomal RNA
Rfam family: Bacterial small subunit ribosomal RNA
Source: RNAcentral
CCUACGGGGGGCAGCAGUGAGGAAUAUUGGUCAAUGGACGCAAGUCUGAACCAGCCAUGCCGCGUGCAGGAAGACGGCUCUAUGAGUUGUAAACUGCUUUUGUACGAGGGUAAACGCAGAUACGUGUAUCUGUCUGAAAGUAUCGUACGAAUAAGGAUCGGCUAACUCCGUGCCAGCAGCCGCGGUAAUACGGAGGAUUCAAGCGUUAUCCGGAUUUAUUGGGUUUAAAGGGUGCGUAGGCGGUCGGAUAAGUUAGAGGUGAAAUCCCGAGGCUCAACUUCGGAAUUGCCUUUGAUACUGUUCGUCUAGAGAGUAGUUGCGGUAGGCGGAAUGUAUGGUGUAGCGGUGAAAUGCUUAGAGAUCAUACAGAACACCGAUUGCGAAGGCAGCUUACCAAGCUACUUCUGACGUUGAGGCACGAAAGCGUGGGGAGCAAACAGGAUUAGAUACCCGGGUAGUC